CCUUGGAGAUGCAGGACCAGGUGUUGGCAAGAGAGCAACCCUCCCAGUGCGUCCACCAGGACGAUGGGGCUGCAGAAGAAGCAGCUUCUCCUACCAGGAAGAGCAUCGGCUGCGGAUUCUCUCCACUUCCCACUGACUGACCGCGGGGCGGCUGAAUCUCUGCACCACGUUCAGUCUUCAUGCUGAUGACCCAGCUGCGAAAGAGUCUCUCACUGGUUCCAUGGAAGUGGUCACCGCCCUCCAGCCUGUCCUCCACGCUGACUGAUCCUGGGCGACACACAAGCAAGCGGAAGCCUUCCAGCCCUGCUGGUGAAGGCACUCGGCCAAGGGCAGAACAGGCAGGAAACGCCGGGGGCCACGGCCCCUCCCUGAGCCAGGCAACCUGGUCCCCAUUCCCAAAGGGGACCGUCCUGUGAGGGACAAGCUCUCCUCCCGUGGGUGGCCCAGCUUUAACCAAAGCCCACCAAUGCAUUCGUGGUGACACUCGGCACAGUGCGUCAGACUGGAGGGGGUGUUCUGAGCUGACCUGGGAUACCUGGUCGUCUGCUGUGGCUUUUGCUCUGAAGGAUGGAUUGUGCUCGGGCUCAGGGAGGGUGGAGGCUCACGCUGCAUGGUAGGGGUCCGGGUUCUCCAGGGGGAAGCUACUGACCCAUCAGCUGGGUGGGGGGAGCUGUGCUUCUCCUCACCCCUCCUCUCCCCCGCCCCCCUCCCUCUGCUCCCUCCCCUCUCCUCCUCCUCCUCGCCUGCCUCUUUCAGGCCUGGGGCAGCAGGCCUGGCGGCUCCCUAAGGCAGCUUUCAGCCUUGCUGCACUCUGGACCUAGACCUGGCCGAUCACCACAGCAUCGUCGACAGGCUCUGCGAGGGUACGUGGGACUUCAGCAAGCACAGGGGCUCUCAGUGGAAAGCAGUUUCGGUUAAAUUAAAUUGCCAAUGUAAAUAUGGCUUCAGACGCAGGAUAAAGAUGAC
RNAcentral lists this long non-coding RNA (966 nucleotides) under Marmota monax (woodchuck). Lineage: Eukaryota; Metazoa; Chordata; Mammalia; Rodentia; Sciuridae. The record is from RNAcentral.